This 407-nucleotide ribosomal RNA is filed under the name uncultured bacterium. RNAcentral describes it as "partial 16S ribosomal RNA". It matches the Rfam family "Bacterial small subunit ribosomal RNA", at positions 30 to 526 of the family's 1533-position model. The record is from RNAcentral.
AUUGAACGCUGGCGGCAGGCCUAACACAUGCAAGUCGAGCGGAGCGGCGGACGGGUGAGUAAUGCCUAGGAAUCUGCCUGGUAGUGGGGGAUAACGUCCGGAAACGGGCGCUAAUACCGCAUCCUAUCCGAUGAGGCUAGGUCGGAUUAGCUAGGUGGGGGGGUAAAGGCCUACCAAGGCGCAGAUCCGUAACUGGUCUGAGAGGAGUAGCAGGCACACAGGAACUGAGACACGGUCCAGACUCCUACGGUAGGCAGCAGUGGGGAAUAUUGGACAAUGGGCGAAAGCCUUAUCCAGCCAUGCCGCGUGUGUGAAGAAGGUCUUCGGAUUGUAAAGCACUUUAAGUUGGGAGGCGUUACCAACAGAAUACGCACCGGCUAACUUCGUGCCAGCAGCCGCGGUAAUUC